UUAAUACCUCCUAUACUGAGGAGUGAAAGGCUUUUAAGCCGCCUAUGGAUGGGCUUGCGUCUGAUUAGCUAGUUGGGGGGGUAAAGGCCUCCCAAUGCGAUGAUCAGUAGCUGGUCUGAGAGGACAAUCAGCCACACUGGGACUGAGACACGGCCCAGACUCCUACGGGAGGCAGCAGUGAGGAAUUUUCCGCAAUGGGCGAAGGCCUGACGGAGCAAUGCCGCGUGGAGGAUGACAGCCCAUGGGUCGUAAACUCCUUUUCUUGGAGAAGAAAUUUUGACGGUAUCUGAGGAAUAAGCAUCGGCUAACUCCGUGCCAGCAGCCGCGGUAAUACGGAGGAUGCAAGCGUUGUCCGGAAUCAUUGGGCGUAAAGGGUCCUGAGGUGGUUUGCUCAGUCCACUGUGAAAGUUCAGGGCUUACCCUUGAAAAUGCGGUGGAAACUAGUAGGCUAGAGUACGGUGGGGGCAGAGGGAAUUCCCGAUGUAGCGGUGAAAUGCAUAGAUAUCGGGAAGAACACCGAUGGCGAAGGCACUCUGCUGGGCCGACACUGACACUGAAAGACGAAAGCCAGGGGAGCGAAUG
This 582-nucleotide ribosomal RNA is filed under the name uncultured bacterium. RNAcentral describes it as "bacterial SSU rRNA". It matches the Rfam family "Bacterial small subunit ribosomal RNA", at positions 163 to 774 of the family's 1533-position model. The record is from RNAcentral.